UGGGGAAUAUUGCACAAUGGGCGCAAGCCUGAUGCAGCCAUGCCGCGUGUAUGAAGAAGGCCUUCGGGUUGUAAAGUACUUUCAGCGAGGAGGAAGGCGUUGUGGUUAAUAACCGCAACGAUUGACGUUACUCGCAGAAGAAGCACCGGCUAACUCCGUGCCAGCAGCCGCGGUAAUACGGAGGGGGCAAGCGUUAAUCGGAAUUACUGGGCGUAAAGCGCACGCAGGCGGUCUGUCAUGUCGGAUGUGAAAUCCCCGGGCUCAACCUGGGAACUGCAUCCGAAACUGGCAGGCUAGAGUCUUGUAGAGGGGGGUAGAAUUCCAGGUGUAGCGGUGAAAUGCGUAGAGAUCUGGAGGAAUACCGGUGGCGAAGGCGGCCCCCUGGACAAAGACUGACGCUCAGGUGCGAAAGCGUGGGGAGCAAACA
This 427-nucleotide ribosomal RNA is filed under the name uncultured bacterium. RNAcentral's name for it is "partial 16S ribosomal RNA". It matches the Rfam family "Bacterial small subunit ribosomal RNA", at positions 355 to 774 of the family's 1533-position model. The record is from RNAcentral.